Molecule: ribosomal RNA, 446 nt
Filed under: uncultured Pseudomonas sp.
Lineage: Bacteria; Pseudomonadati; Pseudomonadota; Gammaproteobacteria; Pseudomonadales; Pseudomonadaceae
Description: bacterial SSU rRNA
Rfam family: Bacterial small subunit ribosomal RNA
Source: RNAcentral
AGCAUGUGGUUUAAUUCGAAGCAACGCGAAGAACCUUACCAGGCCUUGACAUGCAGAGAACUUUCCAGAGAUGGAUUGGUGCCUUCGGGAACUCUGACACAGGUGCUGCAUGGCUGUCGUCAGCUCGUGUCGUGAGAUGUUGGGUUAAGUCCGUAACGAGCGCAACCCUUGUCCUUAGUUACCAGCACGUUAUGGUGGGCACUCUAAGGAGACUGCCGGUGACAAACCGGAGGAAGGUGGGGAUGACGUCAAGUCAUCAUGGUCCUUACGGCCUGGGCUACACACGUGCUACAAUGGUCGGUACAAAGGGUUGCCAAGCCGCGAGGUGGAGCUAAUCCCAUAAAACCGAUCGUAGUCCGGAUCGCAGUCUGCAACUCGACUGCGUGAAGUCGGAAUCGCUAGUAAUCGUGAAUCAGAAUGUCACGGUGAAUACGUUCCCGGGCCUU